This 222-nucleotide long non-coding RNA is filed under the name Carica papaya (papaya). RNAcentral describes it as "long non-coding RNA (CPAP_LNC011212)". The record is from RNAcentral. Lineage: Eukaryota; Viridiplantae; Streptophyta; Magnoliopsida; Brassicales; Caricaceae.
GUUUGAAAUAUUAGUGUUUAAGGUACUAUUUGUUAUGAGACUCUUCUAGAAGCAAAUUGUUUUCAUCAAUGCACCAGUGUCUAUUAUACAAAGACAUUUGGCCUUAUAGUAGAUCCACUUACCAUUCCCCUUAUCUUCUUGAUUACCUUGCAACAAAGCUAGCCUAUCUAUUAGUUGGAUAUGAAUAACACAUUCAACAAAGGUCAACUUUUUAUAGUGGUU